Molecule: ribosomal RNA, 341 nt
Filed under: Nitrospirales bacterium
Lineage: Bacteria; Pseudomonadati; Nitrospirota; Nitrospiria; Nitrospirales
Description: partial 23S ribosomal RNA
Rfam family: Bacterial large subunit ribosomal RNA
Source: RNAcentral
AAGCGGUACGCGAGCUGGGUUCAGAACGUCGUGAGACAGUUCGGUCCCUAUCUGUCGUGGGCGUUGGAGAUUUGAGAGGUGCCGUCCCUAGUACGAGAGGACUGGGAUGGACAGACCUCUGGUGUGCCGGUUGUCGCGCCAGCGGCAGCGCCGGGUAGCUACGUCUGGUUCGGAUAACCGCUGAAAGCAUCUAAGCGGGAAGCCGUCCUCAAGAUAAGAUCUCCCGGAGGGUUUAACCCUCCCUCAAGGCCUCUGGUAGACCACCAGUUUGAUAGGCUGGAGGUGGAAGGGUCGUAAGAUCUGAAGCUAACCAGUACUAAUCGGCCGUGCGUUUUAGAUUC